Molecule: transfer RNA, 122 nt
Filed under: Paramuricea clavata
Lineage: Eukaryota; Metazoa; Cnidaria; Anthozoa; Malacalcyonacea; Plexauridae
Rfam family: tRNA
About the family: Transfer RNA (tRNA) molecules are approximately 80 nucleotides in length. Their secondary structure includes four short double-helical elements and three loops (D, anti-codon, and T loops).
Source: Rfam by way of RNAcentral
GUCAGAACGGCCGAGCGGUUUAAGGCGCCAGACUCAAGUUUCCAAACUUGCUUCGCUAAUGCGCAGCCAAAUAGCGUUCUGGUCCACUAAUGUGGGCGUGGGUUCGAAUCCCACUCCUGACA